This 961-nucleotide ribosomal RNA is filed under the name Myroides odoratus. RNAcentral's name for it is "bacterial SSU rRNA". It matches the Rfam family "Bacterial small subunit ribosomal RNA", at positions 40 to 1001 of the family's 1533-position model. The record is from RNAcentral. Lineage: Bacteria; Pseudomonadati; Bacteroidota; Flavobacteriia; Flavobacteriales; Flavobacteriaceae.
CGUCGGGAAGACUAUACAUGCAAGUCGAGGGGUAUAGAGAGCUUGCUUUCUAGAGACCGGCGGAUGGGUGAGUAACGCGUAUGCAACCUACCUUUUACAGGGGAAUAGCCCGGAGAAAUUCGGAUUAAUGCUCCAUGGUUUAAUUGAGCGGCAUCGUUUGAUUAAUAAAGAUUUAUCGGUAAAAGAUGGGCAUGCGUAUCAUUAGCUAGUUGGUGUGGUAACGGCAUACCAAGGCUACGAUGAUUAGGGGUCCUGAGAGGGAGAUCCCCCACACUGGUACUGAGACACGGACCAGACUCCUACGGGAGGCAGCAGUGAGGAAUAUUGGUCAAUGGAGGCAACUCUGAACCAGCCAUGCCGCGUGCAGGAUGACGGUCCUAUGGAUUGUAAACUGCUUUUGUACGGGAAGAAAUGUAAUUACGUGUAAUUAUUUGACGGUACCGUAAGAAUAAGGAUCGGCUAACUCCGUGCCAGCAGCCGCGGUAAUACGGAGGAUCCGAGCGUUAUCCGGAAUUAUUGGGUUUAAAGGGUUCGUAGGCGGUUGAGUAAGUCAGUGGUGAAAUCUUAUAGCUUAACUAUAAAAUUGCCGUUGAUACUGCUUGACUUGAAUAGUAUGGAAGUAAUUAGAAUAUGUAGUGUAGCGGUGAAAUGCUUAGAUAUUACAUGGAAUACCAAUUGCGAAGGCAGAUUACUACGUACUUAUUGACGCUGAUGAACGAAAGCGUGGGUAGCGAACAGGAUUAGAUACCCUGGUAGUCCACGCCGUAAACGAUGGAUACUAGCUGUUCGGUUUUCGGACUGAGUGGCUAAGCGAAAGUGAUAAGUAUCCCACCUGGGGAGUACGUUCGCAAGAAUGAAACUCAAAGGAAUUGACGGGGGCCCGCACAAGCGGUGGAGCAUGUGGUUUAAUUCGAUGAUACGCGAGGAACCUUACCAAGGCUUAAAUGUAGAUUGACAGGUU